RNA transcript from Triticum urartu, 4407 nucleotides. It is a transcript of the gene named disease resistance protein RGA2-like, with no coding region annotated. The record is from RefSeq and is a predicted model, not a curated record. NCBI's taxonomy places the organism in Eukaryota, Viridiplantae, Streptophyta, Magnoliopsida, Poales, Poaceae.
AUUUGCUUGCAUCCUCUCUCCAGCAACCUCCCAUUAUCAAACCAAGCAGCCCUGAAGCGUGAGAGAUCUGCACAGGGCUGGCGACGAACGAGCAGCAGUAUCGUUGCUCUUUCACCAAAGAUCGAAUUUGGGUGUUGUUAAGUUUCCUAUUCAUCCGAUCUGCAAGAUCAUGGCAGAGUCGCUGCUUCUCCCUCUAGUGCGCGGCGUGGCUGGGAAGGCCACAGACGCACUCGUCGAGACGGUGACCCGCAUGUGUGGCCUCGACGACGACCGCCAAGCGCUCGAGCGGUGUCUACUAGCCGUCGAGUGCAAGCUGGCCAACGCUGAGGAGAUGAGCGAGACAAAUCCCUAUGUCAAGAGCUGGAUGAAGGAGCUCAAGUCCGUCGCCUACCAGGCCGACGACGUGCUCGACGACUUCCAGUACGAGGCGCUGCGCCGCCAGUCUAAGAUUGGCAAGUCUACUACCCGAAAGGUGCUCAGCUACAUCACGCGCCACAGCCCGCUGCUCUUCCGCUUUGAAAUGAGCAGGAAACUCAAGAACGUCCUCAAGAAGAUCAAUAAGUUGGUUAAGGAGAUGAACACGUUUGGCUUGGAGAGUUCUGUCCGUAGGGAGGAGCGGCAACAUCCUUGGCGGCAGACGCACUCAAAACUGGACGAGACUACCCAGAUCUUUGGAAGAGAUGAUGAUAAGGAGGUGGUGGUGAAGUUACUGCUGGACCAGCAGGAUCAGCGGAGAGUGCAGGUGCUGCCCAUCAUUGGGAUGGGAGGUCUUGGCAAGACGACUCUUGCUAAGAUGGUCUAUAAUGACCAAGGGGUCCAGCAACAUUUCGAGUUGAAGAUGUGGCACUGUGUGUCCGACAACUUUGAUUUCAUUGCUCUCUUGAAAUCCAUCAUUGAGUUGGCUGUAAGUGGAAGAUGUGACAUGCCUGACACGAUUGAGAUGUUGCAAAAGAAACUUGAGCAAGUCAUUGGCCAAAAAAGGUUUAUGCUCGUGCUUGAUGAUGUGUGGAAUGAAGAUGAGAGGAACUGGGAGGAUGUCCUGAAGCCUCUUUUGUGUUCUGUUGGUGGACCAGGAAGCGUAAUUAUUGUCACAACUCGAAGCCAGAAAGUGGCCUCUAUAAUGCAGACCCUUCGACCCCAUAAGCUAGCAUGUUUGAGUGAACAAGAUUCAUGGGAAUUGUUUGCACAGAAAGCAUAUAGCAACGGUGUAGAGCAGGAGCAAGCAGAGUUGGUCAGCAUUGGCAGACGUAUUGUCAACAAAUGCGGGGGGCUGCCUCUUGCUCUCAAGACAAUGGGUGGAUUGCUAAGUUCAUAUCAACAAGUACAAGAAUGGAAGGCGAUCGAAGAAAAUGAUAUUGGGGAUAGAGUUAGAGGCAAAGAUGAGAUCAUGUCUAUAUUAAAGUUGAGCUACAAACACCUGUCAUCUGAAAUGAAGCAAUGUUUUACAUUUUUAGCAGUUUUCCCCAAGGACUAUGUGAUAGACAAGGAUAGGUUGAUCCAACUAUGGAUGGCAAAUGGUUUUAUUCAAGAGAAGGGAACAAAGGAUUUGACACUAAGAGGAGAAUUCAUUUUCAAUGAGUUGGUUUGGAGGUCCUUCCUCCAAGAUAAGCAGGAGUGCACACACUAUUAUGGUGUAAAAGGAUAUGUGACUAUUAACUGUAAAAUGCAUGAUUUAAUGCAUGAUCUAGCAAAAGAUGUCACAGAUGAAUGUGCAAGUAUAGAAGAACUGACUCAGAAGAAAUCAUUGUUAAAAGAUGUUUGUCACAUGCAAAUGUCAAAGGCUGAAUUGGAACAAAUCAGUGGGUUGGGCAAAGGCAGAACAAACCUCCGCACUUUGUUAGCUCCUACAGAAUCACACAAGGAUUUUGAAGAGUUGCUGCAAGUAUCGACAUCAUUAAGAGCAUUGCAUUGCUCACCUUCUUCAAUUGUCAUUUGCAAGGCUAUAAAUGCAAAACAUUUACGGUAUCUUGACCUCUCUGGGUCUAACAUUGCUGCAUUGCCAAAUUCAAUAUGCGUGUUGUAUAACUUGCAAACAUUGAGGCUGAUAGAUUGCAGGAAGUUGCAGCAGUUACCAGAAGACAUGGCAAGACUGAGAAAGCUCAUCCAUCUUCAUCUUUCUGGUUGUGAUCGUCUUGAAAGCAUGUUUCCAAACUUUGGUCUACUGAACAACCUUCACAUAUUAACAACAUUUGUUGUGGGUACUGGAGAUGGCCUUGGGAUAGAGCAGCUCAAAGAUUUGCAACACCUUAGCAAUAGGUUGGAACUGUUCAAUUUGAGCAAGAUAAAGAGUGGGAGAAAUGCAAAAAAAGCCAAUCUAGGUCAGAAGAAAAAUCUAAGUGAGUUGUUGUUCUCUUGGGACCAAGAAAUAGAUGAUGAGCCUAGAGACGUGGAAGAAGUGCUUCAGUGUUUAGAACCUCAUAGUAAUAUCCAAAAACUGGAGAUACGUGGAUAUCAUGGCCUAGAAAUAUCACAAUGGAUGAGAAAGCCUCAGAUGUUUGACUGCUUGAGAGAACUUGAAAUAUCUGAUUGCCCAAAAUGCAAGAGUAUCCCUUUAAUAUGGCUCUCGGUCUCUCUAGAAAUUUUGGUCUUACAGAAAAUGGAUAACCUGACAACAUUAUGUAAUAACAUUGAUGUGGAAGCUGGAGGAUGCAUUACCCCUCUGCAAAUUUUCCCAAGGUUGAAGAAGAUGAGGUUGAUUGAAUUACAAAGCCUGGAGAAAUGGGCAGAAAAUAGUGUAGGAGAGCCUCAGAUGUUUAACUGUUUGGAAGAACUUGAAAUGUCCGACUGCCCAAGAUGCGAGAGUAUACCUGUCGUAUGGUCAUCGGUCUCUCUGGAGAUUUUGUGCUUGGAGAAGAUGGAUAACCUGAAAACAUUAUGUAAUAACCUUGAUGUCAAAGCCAGAGGAUGCAUUACCCCUAUGCAAAUUUUCCCUAGGUUGAAGAAGAUGAGAUUAAUCGAGUUAGGAAGCCUGGAGAUAUGGGCAGAAAAUAGUGUGGGAGAGCGUAGUGAUAACCUGCUAACAUUCCCGGUGCUUGAAGAGCUAGAGAUCAAAAAUUGCCCCAAGCUUGCAAGCAUUCCAGUGAUCCCCGUUGUUAGCAACUUGAGAAUAGUUGGGGUUCACAGUACUGCAGUCGGUUCAGUUUUUAUGAGCAUCCGUUUAGGCUCCUGGCCAUUUCUCGCCAGCUUAACUCUUUGGUCUCCGGAAGACAUACCCAUGUUGCCUCUAAACACCCAGCAAGGCCAAAGUCAAAGACCUCUUGAAAAACUUAAGCGUCUGACUCUAGAAGGGCCCAACAGCUUGGUCAGAAGCUCCGGAUUGUCCAGUUUACACCUUAUAAUUUGGAAAUGCUUUCAGUUCGUGGAACAACUGAGGUUUAUUGGAUGCAGCGAUCUUGUCCGCUGGCCAUCAGAGGAGCUCCGGUGCUUGGAACACCUCCGUGUUCUGUGGAUCUAUCAUUGUGACAACCUGGAGGGGAACACUUCAUCGUCUGAUGAGGAGACCCUUCCGCUCUCCUUAGAGCAUUUGAUGAUUCGGGGCUGCAAAAGUCUAGCCAAGCUGCCUUGGAACCUCGGAAAUCUGACCAAGCUGAAGAGUCUCGAUGUGUCUGGCUGCAGUGGCCUGAAAGCUCUCUCUAAUGGGAUGUGUGGCCUCACUUCUCUUAGGAAAUUGUUGAUUUUGGGUUGUCCAGCUUUGGAGGUAUUGCCGCAUGGUCUCCUGGAGCGGUUGCCAGCCCUCGAAGAAUUAAAGAUAGAUGAUUGCCCCAGGUUGGGAAGACGAUGCAGAGAAGGUGGGGAGUAUUUCCACUUGCUCUCCUCUGUCCCAAGUAAAUAUAUUUUGUGAUGACGGCGUCAUGAAAAUCCAGAAGAGCUGCGAAGUAAGUCAGCAUACGCGUGAGUCCCAUGCUGCAGGUGGGAAUCUCCGAAAACCUCCACACCAUGAAGGAGACAAUGGUCGAUCCGCCGUCCAUCUCGGCAGGGCGCAGAUGGGAAGAGAGGAAGGUUCCGCGGCUUGAUGCAGCCGCCGUACUGCUUGGCAGAGCGCACGCCUGGAACGGCGGCGGCGUGUAGGAGAGGGGGCGAGAUUUGGCUGCCCUACGCAGUGGGCAGCAUCCGAGGUCCCGAUGGACCAACUAGCAGAAGCAGAGAGUUGGUGUCGGUGGGUUGGAAGCCCCCUGGAAUGGGAUUAGCGGGCCCAAUUGUCAUUACUUCUCUCUCUUUGCGGAGGCCCGAAGGAGUAGUAUUUCAUUUUUAUCAAAAAGAAGAAGCAGAUAGUAGUAGUAUUUCUUACAUGGUUGCUUUAAUCUGUACAGCAAAAGCAGGUGUGACACCAAUAGUCCAAUACUAUGUUUCUACCAAUGUAAGUUAAUCCCAAGUAAAAUUGUGCGGCUUGGCUUGAUAGUUAUCCCU